Molecule: ribosomal RNA, 253 nt
Filed under: uncultured bacterium
Lineage: Bacteria
Description: partial 16S ribosomal RNA
Rfam family: Bacterial small subunit ribosomal RNA
Source: RNAcentral
UACGAAGGGGGCUAGCGUUGCUCGGAAUCACUGGGCGUAAAGCGCACGUAGGCGGACUGUUAAGUCAGGGGUGAAAUCCUGGAGCUCAACUCCAGAACUGCCUUUGAUACUGGCGAUCUCGAGUCCGGGAGAGGUGAGUGGAACUGCGAGUGUAGAGGUGAAAUUCGUAGAUAUUCGCAAGAACACCAGUGGCGAAGGCGGCUCACUGGCCCGGUACUGACGCUGAGGUGCGAAAGCGUGGGGAGCAAACAGG